GACGAACGCUGGCGGCGUGCCUAAUACAUGCAAGUUGAGCGCUGAAGGUUGGUACUUGUACCGACUGGAUGAGCAGCGAACGGGUGAGUAACGCGUGGGGAAUCUGCCUUUGAGCGGGGGACAACAUUUGGAAACGAAUGCUAAUACCGCAUAAAAACUUUAAACACAAGUUUUAAGUUUGAAAGAUGCAAUUGCAUCACUCAAAGAUGAUCCCGCGUUGUAUUAGCUAGUUGGUGAGGUAAAGGCUCACCAGGGCGAUGAUACAUAGCCGACCUGAGAGGGUGAUCGGCAACAUUGGGACUGAGACACGGCCCAAACUCCUACGGGAGGCAGCAGUAGGGAAUCUUCGGCAAUGGACGAAAGUCUGACCGAGCAACGCCGCGUGAGUGAAGAAGGUUUUCGGAUCGUAAAACUCUGUUGGUAGAGAAGAACGUUGGUGAGAGUGGAAAGCUCAUCAAGUGACGGUGACUACCCAGAAAGGGACGGCUAACUACGUG
This 497-nucleotide ribosomal RNA is filed under the name uncultured bacterium. Its description in RNAcentral is "partial 16S ribosomal RNA". It matches the Rfam family "Bacterial small subunit ribosomal RNA", at positions 28 to 507 of the family's 1533-position model. The record is from RNAcentral.